UACGUAGGGUGCAAGCGUUGUCCGGAAUUAUUGGGCGUAAAGAGCUCGUAGGCGGUUUGUCGCGUCGACUGUGAAAACCCGAGGCUUAACCUCGGGCCUGCAGUCGAUACGGGCAGACUAGAGUUCGGUAGGGGAGACUGGAAUUCCUGGUGUAGCGGUGAAAUGCGCAGAUAUCGGGAGGAACACCAGUAGCGAAGGCGGUUCUCUGGGCCGGUACUGACGCUGAGGAGCGAAAGCGUGGGGAGCAAACAGG
This 253-nucleotide ribosomal RNA is filed under the name uncultured bacterium. Its description in RNAcentral is "partial 16S ribosomal RNA". It matches the Rfam family "Bacterial small subunit ribosomal RNA", at positions 524 to 776 of the family's 1533-position model. The record is from RNAcentral.